Molecule: long non-coding RNA, 2049 nt
Organism: Lotus japonicus
Lineage: Eukaryota; Viridiplantae; Streptophyta; Magnoliopsida; Fabales; Fabaceae
Exons: 7
Source: RefSeq, a predicted model, not a curated record
AUUAAAUUAAAACCCCAAAUCUAAAUCCCCAAUUCAACACUAAAUCACAAUUCCUAACUCUAAAUCAAACUCAAUUCCUCAGCAUCAUAUCUUCUUCUCAUCUCACGAAAAAAAAAAAUCUUCUUCAUCAACAUGAAUUCAGAUAUUGCAGGUCUCCACUCCAGAACCCUGCUCUUCACCAAUCAUCCUCACCUUUCUCUUCCCUUCUCCAUCUCCCAACCCUAACCCUCUCCUCCUUCUCUUUCUCCCAGCCAUCGCAACUCCCAAGCACCUCUGCAACCCCAGAUCUGCAAGGAAUUAACGGAGGAGCACAGAUCAGAAUUGACGCCGGUGGGAAACAAGGUGAUAACCUCCAAUGACACCGACCUUGUGAACCAGAUACUGCCGGCGAUACAGAACAUGCAAAACGCCCAAAGACAUACUGGAUCUAGGGAUGAGAAGGCAGAGGGUGGUGGCGGCGUCGGGAUCCCGAGAGAAAGGAGAUAGUCAUCAGAAUUCAGGGAAGGAUGGGGUUGCAGCGAGGCUGAAUUUAGGUUUGGGGUAGAUGAAGGUGGAGGGGCAGCACCGGGUUUCAUCAUGAAAGGGAGAGCUAGGAUUUUUUGUGGGUUCGGUGAUGAUGAAACACAUUUUUCUCCGCUGUGGCGGCUCCUGAUACUUUCUUACCCUUCACCAUCUUCAUCUCCAAUUGCAUAUCUGAUAUGAAAUUAUUUUCAAAACAGAUCUUGAAACCAGUAGCUUCUCGUAAAGAUGGAGGGAACGAAGAUGACCAUAAGCUUCUCAUCAACCUACUUUGUUCUUGUUCUGAUUUUUCUGGAUUUGGGAGUUUAAUUUUGUGGAAAACUAGAGCUUGAGAGCAAUGAAAUCGUUGCAAAUUAUCAACGUCGUACAGCUGAUAACGUUUUCUAGUUUGUCACAUUGUGGCUAAUGUUUGGAUUUUGCUUAAUUUUCAUAUUUUUUCUAGAUUGUCUGCACGUCGUGGAGUUUGCUUAAUUUCUUGUGGAUUGGUUGCUGUUGUCCUGGGAAUGGAUAAUUUAUGGGUAAAUUUUCUUGGCUUGGUGGAGGGUUGAUCUUGGAUAUAAAGAACAAGGAUAAUAAAGAUGAAGCUUCAUUUACACAGUCAGUAUGUCAUUUCAUCACUUGCCGGAGCUCCGGCGAGGACUAGCUCCAUACGUUUUUCAAAAAUAGGGACUUAUUCCACAAAUUUUUCCGGAUAUCUCUUCGAUUUGGAUUUCUCCAAUAGCAUCACUCCAACACAAGAAGAUCUUCCAUCAGAUUUUUCCAUUGCUGUUUUCCAUUCUUCCAAUGUUACAUCUUGAAAACAUAACCGUUCGAUAUUCAGCAGACUUUAAAUCUCAGCCGUUCGAUAUUCCCCUUGAACUUCUUCCAUCAAUGUUCUUUUGAAGAAUUUCCUGAAGAUCAAGGAGCUCAUUGUGAAGGAACGUUUGAGGAGAACGCUGGAAUAACCAGAGAUGUCGUUGGUGGAUUCUUUCGUGAUUCGUCGUCGUUCGGGGAAGACCCGGAGCGAAAUGACUACUAUUGAGCCUUCGACGUGGACCCGGACUUCAUGCAUGACCAGAUGGGAGUCGAUGAUGGAAGUAUGGGGGAUGGGUGAUUAGAGUCUAUUAAGGUUGGGUGUUAGUGUCAUAGCUCUGACUUAUUCUUAUUUUUGGAGGGCUUGUGUUGCUGACACUUGACCUAUCAUUUUGGGGAUUGUACAUUUUGCCUACGGGCGUUACACUUUUCUACUUUCCGUCACUGGAGGUUACUCGUGACGAGGUCGCUACUUACAGCGGGGAAUGUUAUAUGUAUUGUGUAUUAGUUCUGUUACCUUUCGCAUUUGGGUUUUAUUUAUUUCAGUCUUGUCUUAGUUAUUAUAUCGGAAAAAAAAAAUAUUCACGUAUUUCCGCAUUAAGUUUACUUUUGGUUACUAAAGUGACGCCACCGAAAUCGGGGUGUUACACUGAUGGUUCUUCAAAUCCUGGGGGCUGCUUCACUUAGACUUCUUCUUCAAUUACUCCGUUCAGAAAAGCACUUUUGACAUCCAUUUGA